This 159-nucleotide ribosomal RNA is filed under the name Calogaya decipiens. RNAcentral describes it as "5.8S ribosomal RNA". It matches the Rfam family "5.8S ribosomal RNA". Rfam says of the family: 5.8S ribosomal RNA (5.8S rRNA) is a component of the large subunit of the eukaryotic ribosome. It is transcribed by RNA polymerase I as part of the 45S precursor that also contains 18S and 28S rRNA. Functionally, it is thought that 5.8S rRNA may be involved in ribosome translocation. Lineage: Eukaryota; Fungi; Ascomycota; Lecanoromycetes; Teloschistales; Teloschistaceae. The record is from RNAcentral.
AAACUUUCAACAACGGAUCUCUUGGUUCUGGCAUCGAUGAAGAACGCAGCGAAAUGCGAUAAGUAAUGUGAAUUGCAGAAUUCAGUGAAUCAUCGAAUCUUUGAACGCACAUUGCGCCCCCUGGUAUUCCGGGGGGCAUGCCUGUUCGAGCGUCAUUGU